CAGCCGCCGCGGGAAUACGUAGGGGGCAAGCGUUGUCCGGAAUUAUUGGGCGUAAAGCGCGCGCAGGCGGUCAUGUAAGUCUGGUGUUUAAUCCCGGGGCUCAACCCCGGAUCGCACUGGAAACUGGGUGACUUGAGUGCAGAAGAGGAGAGUGGAAUUCCACGUGUAGCGGUGAAAUGCGUAGAGAUGUGGAGGAACACCAGUGGCGAAGGCGACUCUCUGGGCUGUAACUGACGCUGAGGCGCGAAAGCGUGGGGAGCAAACAGGAUUAGAUACCCGAGUAGUCCCUGUCUCUUAUACA
This 301-nucleotide ribosomal RNA is filed under the name uncultured bacterium. RNAcentral describes it as "partial 16S ribosomal RNA". It matches the Rfam family "Bacterial small subunit ribosomal RNA", at positions 509 to 808 of the family's 1533-position model. The record is from RNAcentral.